This 389-nucleotide long non-coding RNA is filed under the name Mytilus galloprovincialis (Mediterranean mussel). The record is from RNAcentral. Lineage: Eukaryota; Metazoa; Mollusca; Bivalvia; Mytilida; Mytilidae.
CUGGGUAAUGGGUUUUUAUUCAAUAAAAUUGGUGUUUUUUUUUCAGUUUUCUGAUAAUAUCUCAAAAAUGCUUUCACAAAGCAAGGAAUUUUGGUGAAUUGUUUAUAUCUAUUAACAUGAGGUAACUUUCAAUUUUUAUAAAUUUUAGAUUUUACGUUUCCGAGUUAACGGGUUUUAUUAAUUAAAAAGGGGUGAUUUUCCAGUUUUCAGACAUUAACACAAAAAUGUUUUCACCAGUUCUCAUGAAACGUUGGUGUAUUGUUUAUAUAUAUUGACUGAAGCUCCCUUUGUUGCUAAUCAAAAAAGUGACCUAAAAGAGUUUGAAUAUUCUGACUUUUUUCUAAAUGACCAUUUAAUGAGGUGUGUGAAUUUUUCUUAAUAAAACUUUG